GGCAUCCCUCCAGGACCAGCUCUCCAGGAGGCCCACAUUCUUUCUGCGGGAACCACUCCAAAGGGGCAUGCUGUUCCAGGCAGCCCCUCGCGCAGACACUCCGGCUUUGUCGAGGGCCCACAACGCGUCCCCGGUGAUGUUCAUGCCCACCUCCCAGUAGUGCCUCCCAGAGGAGAAGGCCGUCUGGCCCACAGCACAGGGGAGAUGAUUAGGACAGAGACGUGCAUAGAGAGAUGAUGCCAUGAGGACGCGGGGAGGAGACGGCAUCUUCAGGCCUAGGAGAGAGGCUCAGGAGGAACCAGGCCUGCCCGCACCUUGGCCUCAGCCACCCAGCCUCCAGGACUAGCAGACUGGGAGCUAACAGCCCUUUCCCGUUGGCUGCCUCUU
RNAcentral lists this long non-coding RNA (387 nucleotides) under Homo sapiens (human). RNAcentral's name for it is "novel transcript". Lineage: Eukaryota; Metazoa; Chordata; Mammalia; Primates; Hominidae. The record is from RNAcentral.